RNAcentral lists this long non-coding RNA (492 nucleotides) under Callithrix jacchus (white-tufted-ear marmoset). RNAcentral describes it as "lncRNA (ENSCJAG00000051574.2)". The record is from RNAcentral. Lineage: Eukaryota; Metazoa; Chordata; Mammalia; Primates; Cebidae.
AUGUUAGUCAGGUUGUUCUCAAAUUUCUGGUCUCAAAUGAUCUGCACCUUGGCGUCCCUAAGUGUUGGGAUUACAGGAGAAGGUUUCCAGUUGGAAAUGCAAAUCUACAGAAGGGAUGAUGAGCACCAUGAAUGGCGGAUAGAUGACUGGCUACAAAAGAUGAAUCUGAUAUGGGAUAAACAUCAAAUUUAUUCAUCAUGUUUUCUUAUAAAGCUUAUAAGAAAUAUAUAGACCUGUUUUUAAAUCUCUUCCUAUUACUGACUGGCAGUCUUCCUUCCUGAAUUCCAAACAUGGCCAUAUUUUGUUCAGUGGAACUGCACAUAUGUAAGAAGAGAUUCGUAUUUCAUAUAAUAAUUUCCCCAACACAGAUUCAGAUGAAACUUCUCUAUGUCAUCUGCUACUGAGGCUAAAUAUGCCAAUUUCCCUAAACCCUUCAUCUUCCUUCAACUUCAUGUGGCAAUGCUGUGUGUGGCCAUUCUGGUUAGUCUUCUG